RNAcentral lists this ribosomal RNA (438 nucleotides) under uncultured bacterium. RNAcentral's name for it is "bacterial SSU rRNA". It matches the Rfam family "Bacterial small subunit ribosomal RNA", at positions 339 to 794 of the family's 1533-position model. The record is from RNAcentral.
GUACGGAAGGCGGCAGUGAGGAAUCUUGGACAAUGGGCGCAAGCCUGAUCCAGCCAUGCCGCGUGAGUGAAGAAGGCCUUAGGGUUGUAAAACUCUUUCGCCGGUGAAGAUAAUGACGGUAACCGGAGAAGAAGCCCCGGCUAACUUCGUGCCAGCAGCCGCGGUAAUACGAAGGGGGCUAGCGUUGUUCGGAAUUACUGGGCGUAAAGCGCACGUAGGCGGGUUUGUAAGUAGGGGGUGAAAUCCCAGGGCUCAACCCUGGAACUGCCUUCUAAACUGCAAGCCUGGAGGUCAGGAGAGGCGAGUGGAAUACCGAGUGUAGAGGUGAAAUUCGUAGAUAUUCGGUGGAACACCAGUGGCGAAGGCGACUCGCUGGACUGAUACUGACGCUGAGGUGCGAAAGCGUGGGGAGUAAACAGGAUUAGAUACCCUGGUAGG